This 448-nucleotide ribosomal RNA is filed under the name uncultured bacterium. RNAcentral's name for it is "partial 16S ribosomal RNA". It matches the Rfam family "Bacterial small subunit ribosomal RNA", at positions 28 to 507 of the family's 1533-position model. The record is from RNAcentral.
AACGAACGCUGGCGGCAGGCUUAACACAUGCAAGUCGAGCGAGGGCUUCGGCCCUAGCGGCGGACGGGUGAGUAACGCGUGGGAACGUGCCCUUCUCUCUGGAAUAGCCCUGGGAAACCGGGAGUAAUGCCGGAUACGCCCUCGGGGAAUGGCUCCUCGUGGGGAAAGAUUUAUCGGGGAAGGAUCGGCCCGCGUCGGAUUAGGUAGUUGGUGGGGUAACGGCCUACCAAGCCGACGAUCCGUAGCUGGUUUGAGAGGAUGAUCAGCCACACUGGGACUGAGCCACGCCCCAGCCUCACACGGGGGGAGGAGGGGGGAAAUUUGGAAAAAGGGGGGCAACCUUGACCCACCCAGGCGGGGGGAGGAGGGAGGGCUUUGGGGUUGAAAAUCUUUUUCGGGGGGGAAGAUAAGGACGGUCCCCGAAAAAGAGCCCCCGGCUACCCCGGUG